Molecule: ribosomal RNA, 459 nt
Filed under: uncultured bacterium
Lineage: Bacteria
Description: partial 16S ribosomal RNA
Rfam family: Bacterial small subunit ribosomal RNA
Source: RNAcentral
CCUACGGGUGGCAGCAGUGAGGAAUAUUGGUCAAUGGGCGGAAGCCUGAACCAGCCAAGUCGCGUGAGGGAUUAAGGCCCUGCGGGUUGUAAACCUCUUUUGCCGGGAGCUGUGGUCCGGACGCGUCCGGACCGGGAGAGUAUCCGGAGAAAAAGCAUCGGCUAACUCCGUGCCAGCAGCCGCGGUAAUACGGGGGAUGCGAGCGUUAUCCGGAUUUAUUGGGUUUAAAGGGUGCGUAGGCGGGCAUUUAAGCCGGCGGUCAAAUGUCGGGGCUCAACCCCGGCCUGCCGUCGGUACUGGUGGCCUUGAGUGGGCGAGAAGUAUGCGGAAUGCGUGGUGUAGCGGUGAAAUGCAUAGAUAUCACGCAGAACCCCGAUUGCGAAGGCAGCAUACCGGCGCCCUACUGACGCUGAGGCACGAAAGUGCGGGUAUCGAACAGGAUUAGAUACCCUAGUAGUC